ACGACGCUGGCGGCGCGCUUAACACAUGCAAGUGGAGCGACGAACCGGGGCUUGCCCCGGGGCAGAGCCGCGAACGGGUGAGUAACACGUGGGUAACCUGCCUCAAUGAUUGGGACAACCCGGGGAAACUCGGGCUAAUACCAAAUGUGUUCACUCCUUCUAAGGGGAGUGAGGAAAGGAAGCUUCGGCCUCCGCAUUGAGAUGGGCCCGCGGCCCAUUAGCUUGUUGGUGAGGUAACGGCUCACCAAGGCUUCGAUGGGUAGCUGGUCUGAGAGGACGAUCAGCCACACUGGGACUGAGACACGGCCCAGACUCCUACGGGAGGCAGCAGUGGGGAAUCUUGCACAAUGCGCGAAAGCGUGAUGCAGCAACGCCGCGUGGGGAAGACGGCCUUCGGGUUGUAAACCCCUUUCAGUUGGGACGAAGCUUCGUCGGUGAAUAGCCGGUUGGAGUGACGGUACCUUCAGAAGAAGCCCCGGCUAACUACGUG
RNAcentral lists this ribosomal RNA (490 nucleotides) under uncultured bacterium. RNAcentral describes it as "bacterial SSU rRNA". It matches the Rfam family "Bacterial small subunit ribosomal RNA", at positions 33 to 507 of the family's 1533-position model. The record is from RNAcentral.